Molecule: non-coding RNA, 1489 nt
Organism: Sus scrofa (pig)
Lineage: Eukaryota; Metazoa; Chordata; Mammalia; Artiodactyla; Suidae
Source: RefSeq, a predicted model, not a curated record
GGAAACUGAGGCUUGAAGAGGCUGACUUGUCUGAUGUUCCACAGCUGGUAAGUGGUAGGAUUAAGGGGCAAAUUUAGGUAGUUUGGCCCUAAAGCUCUUCCCCCUUACCAUACUUCCUUCCCUUCAGCCAGGGUUUCUUAAAUUAGGGUUCAUGGAGAGCCUUUGGGGAUCUCUGAGCCAACUAAAAUUAUAUGCAAAACUGUGUGUGAUUUCUGUUUUUUUUCUUGGGCCCAUAGCUUUUACCAGACUUGCGACGGUGUCACCUAAUAACUUUUAAAAUCAUUGCAUGAAUACAAGCAUUUCCUAAAGAACAGUACUGACAGGUGUGUGAAAUGGAACACACUCUAGAGAAGACAAUUUAGCACAAACAAAAUUAUAAGGCUCGUAUCCUUUGACCCAAUUCCACGUCUAGGAAUUUCAUUCUACAAACACACUCCCACACUUGGGAAAUGACAGAUGAUCAUGAUUAUUCAUUGCAGCUUUGUCUACAAAGGCAAAAGGAUUGGAAACAACAUAAACGUCCACCAACUGGGGGCCAUAAAAGAUGAUGGGUAUAGCCACAGCGAAGGAUGAGAAAGCCCUUUGUGCAGCGAUAUGAAAAGCCUCCAAGAUCACAUGGUUAAGCGAAAGAGACACACAGGAAGCGGCAGGAAUAGUCCAAAGGGUCUCAUGAACACUUCACCCAGCUUCCCCCAGUGGUGAUGUCGUAUAUGGCUGCUGUACGAUGUGAAAACCAGGAAGUGGACAUUGGAUUUCGGUGCUGGCGCCUUGACACAACAGAUUGUUCAUCUCACCAAAAGAAGAGUCAAACCUUUCUCAGAUUCUCCCUCCUGGCUUCACAUAGGCUUUUGGAUGUUGCUGGGAGGCGGGAGGUUGGCUUUUUUUUUUUUAUGAAAAAGGGAAAGAGAUGUGAAGCAUAAAAGGAUUUUUGCGGUUUGCAAGUUGACAUUCCAUCAUUAACUUAAUGCUAACACAAGCUCGAUUUCACUAAUCCUGAGAGGAACUUGAUCUCCAGAGACACUGACUUGCUGGUUCAAUGCCUGCACCAUGAGGCCUCUUCCACAGCCCAGAGUUGGGUGUUUUUCCCUUUUAAAAGACUUUGAAGUUGCAAAAAGUACAUAUCGCUUUUAAAAAGCAAACCCCAAAGAGAUCUUGCAAACAGUUUUGCUCAAGUGAGGUUGAGUUAAAUAGAGCAGUCCCCUUUUCAUCACAAUAAGAGAAGAGGAAGGGGGGGUGCAUUUGUUCCUCCUCCUCUCCCCAGUAUGGAACACUGGGCUGCUCCAGGGCUUGGUUCUCAGACCUAGAUUCUUCUCUAUCCACCACUCACUUCCAAGAGGAUCUUAUUUGAGCUCAUUAUUUUACUUAUUUGGAGGUGGGAGUGGGGUAAGGCGAGAUCUUAUUCAAAGGUAUCAUUAAAAUAAGGAGAAGAGAGCGUUCCCAUCGUGGCUCAGUGGUUAACGGAUCCAACUAGGAACCAUGAGGUGGCGGG